AUGAAUUGCAUAAGCUGGAACUGCCGGGGGCUUGGGAACCCAGCGGCAGUUCGGGAGCUUCGCAGUAUUGUGAAGCAAGAAGGUCCUGCCCUUGUGUUUAUCAUGGGAACUAAAAUAAGGGCGAAGAAAGUAGAGAAUCUGCGAAAUACUUUGGGAUUUGCAGGAUGUUUUGCGGUCGACAGUAAUGGUCUUAGUGGCGGUGUGGGACUGUUUUGGUCGAGCGAAGUUUCAGUUGAACUGAAAAAUUUUAGUGUGAGCCACAUCGAUGUGGUUGUCACAAAGAUCGGUCUUGAUUCUCCUGGUUGGAGAUUCACUGGUUUCUAUGGAGCUCCAAGAGUGGAAAACCGUCAUCAGAGUUGGCGCUUCAUGAGAACUUUAUUUGGAAUCGAACACCAAGCAUGGAUAUGCGCUGGCGAUUUCAAUGAAACACUUUAUGGUACCGAACACUUCAGCCGUGCUGCACGGCCGGAGUGGCAAAUGCGAGCCUUUCGCGAGGUCAUCGGGGAGUGUGCCCUCCAGGAUCUUGGCUGGGCCAGAGUGGAAUAUAUGUGGGAUAACAUGCAGCAAGGCGAGGCAAACGUCAAAGCUCGCCUAGACAGGGCUGUAGUCAAUUCAGCAAUGCUAAAUUUGUUUGAGGAGUCCAGGGUUAGACAUGUUAGUUCCAUAGAGUCAGAUCACUGUUUUCUUGUAAUUGAAUUGCGCGAGCUCAAUAAUCAUAAAUAUCAGAAAAAAGUGAAACAGUUUCGGUAUGAGAAUGUGUGGCAAUCACAUGCCGAUUAUGAUGACCUUGUCUGUGAAUCAUGGUAG
This 807-nucleotide ribosomal RNA is filed under the name Triticum aestivum (bread wheat). Its description in RNAcentral is "partial small subunit ribosomal RNA". Lineage: Eukaryota; Viridiplantae; Streptophyta; Magnoliopsida; Poales; Poaceae. The record is from RNAcentral.